Long non-coding RNA from Vespula vulgaris, 16434 nucleotides. RefSeq lists it as uncharacterized. The transcript is spliced from 10 exons. The record is from RefSeq and is a predicted model, not a curated record. Lineage: Eukaryota; Metazoa; Arthropoda; Insecta; Hymenoptera; Vespidae.
AUCGGAAUCGAGAAGAAUGUAAAGCUCCUUCCACCGAGCCACGCCUGGGAAAUUAGCCGCGCUAGGUCAUCCAAGAUGGCGAUUUGCGGAAGAAGCUUUCCUUUAGAAGUCAUCUUCUCAAUAAUUUUUGAAGGAGUAAUACGCAAAUAUACAAGACUAAACGAAGGCAAAAGCAAUUCCAAUUGCUAGGAAGUAUUGCAGAGGAUCAGAAUUGAAUGAUAUCUGCAUUCUUAUUACGUCCAAAGAAGAUAUUUGGAUUUGAACUAAGCUUAAUGUGAUCAUUAAACAUUUGACAUCCGAAAUGAAACGCUUUUCCAUUGGUACUUCCUGUUUUUCCUCAAAUCCGAAGAUUCGUUCUACUUGGAUAGUAGAAAUGUCCGAAAGUCAACGAACUUAGGAAAUGGAAACGUUUACCUCUUCACUCUUAUAUUUCAAUGAGAUUUUAUCAUGGCUACUAGAAUAUUUCUAUUGAUGAACAUUAUUCGAGCAUAUUGAAGCAGAAGAGUGUUUCAAGAGUUAGUUGAAAAUUCUAACAAAGGAAGGAACAUCGUUAGCUAUUGUUCAUGUAUGCAUUAUGUGAUUGUGAAUACCUAGGAAGAGGAAAAAGAAGAAAAUACAUACUUGCUUGACGACGAAGUUUCGAAAGAUCAAUAUGGCAAUGUUUUAUAAAGCUUGGAACAAGGGUACGAGGAAAUGGGAGGGAUUUAUCUUUUUCAAAGCAUCUAACUGUGAGCGGCUUUAGCUGGAGGGUAUAAGCGAUUGUGUUCAACAAGCUUUGUCGAAGAGCCGUCCGACGUUCCAUGCGAGAUCAGCUCGGUCAUCCGACGAGGCAGUCUGGUGGAGGAACUCCUCUGCGGAAAUCAUCCUUUCAAUAAUUUUUGAUCGAGUAAUACGCAAAAAUAUACCAGGUUAAACGAAGGCGAAAGCAGUUUCAAUAGCUUAGAAAUAUUGCAAAGCUGCAGAAUUGACUGCUAUCUGAAUUGUAAUUACUUCCAAAGAAAAUAUGUGAAUUUCAACUACGCUGCAUGAUAAUUAAAUAUUCCGGAUCCGAAAUGAAACACAUUUAUUUUGGCAGUCCUUGCUCUUCCGCAUAUCCGACGAUAGGUCAUUUAUGGAUAGCAUGAAUAUCUGACCAUCAAACAGAUCAGGAAAUGAAAACGUUUUCCUUUUUAAUCUUAUAUUUAAAUGGUCGAUCAAUCAAUGUUCUAUUUAUCGAAUGAUUUUAUGAUGACGACGCGAGUAUUUCUAUUGAUGAGAGGGACAUUAGGUCUCUUAACUGUAUCUAUCCUUCAUAUUGUAUUAUUGUAUAUAAAUCAAGAAGCUAUAUAUUUAUUAACUAAUGUAAUGAAAAAUAUUAUAUAUAUGGGAAGCAAGAUGCUCCAUGAAAGAGAGGAGAUCAUAAAAGCAGGGGAUGAAGCUGAUGCUGCUCACGAAUUUAUUACAAAUCUUCCAAAUGAUCUCGUAGGCAAGUUAGUGAGAGAAUCACCUAAUUAUCUGGUUUAUGGAAACAACAUGAUUCUAUUGCUAGAGCAUUACUGUAGCAACCAUCGACAUCAAUAUUAAAUUUUAAUACACGAGUGCAUUGAAUCGUGAAAGCAGAAGAGUGGUCCAAGAAGGUGGAAAUUCGAAAUGAAGAUGGAACAUCAUUAGCUACUCCUCUUGCGUUCAUUAUGUGAUUCAGAAUACCUAGGAAAUGCAAAAGGAAAAAGAACAUUUGUGUUUUUCCGACGAAAUUUGGAAAAAUCAAUAUGGCAUUGUUUUAUAAAGCUUGGAACUGUGGUACGAGGAAAUGGGAGGGAUUUACCUUCUUCAAAGGAUCGAAACGUGAGCGGCUUUAGCUGUAGGCUAUAAGCGACUGUACUCAGAUCGAUUUGUCGACGUUCCACGCAGGGCCAGGAUCAAAUGGGAAUUGAAAUGAAACUGAGGGAAGUAUAUCAUACAUAAUAAUUUAUAUACAGGGACGAUCAAAAGAUUCACCGUUUUUGGAAGUAAUAACGUUAACAGGGAAAUACUUUUAAAUUAUACGUGAAAUGGAAAAUCCACGUUCACGUGAUUUUUAUUCCAUCGAAUCAAAUUAAGUAAGCAUUCGAUAUUAUUAAGAAAGGAGAAAUGCUGAAUUCUGUAUUUGAUAUUAUUUCUCAUAACAUUCACGACAUGUACUUAAAGAAUAUUCGUAAUAUUUAAUUAGCGGUUUUCUUAAAUAUUGAAAUUUGGACGAAGAAUUCGGUAGCACAAAGUAUCUGUUUUUAAUACGUUCUCCCAUACUUAUCGAGAAAUACCUUCGUUUUAAACUUUUCGGUAUUAUCUCCCUCAAUCUGCGGGUGCUCUAGUGCACGACUAUCUGCGGCGGUUCGAGUAGCCGGGGAUGAGUGAGCGGUCCUGUGUGCGUGUAUGCGGACAACCCCUAUUUUACCUUCAUAUAAUUGGAGAUUAGCUCUAUAAUUCCAUUACCUAUUUAGAUUUAUCGUUUGAUAGCACGAUUACUUAUUUUGCAGAGUAGUGGAUUAUUUUCUUUGGAACAAAUUGAUUUGGAACAUAAUAUACGAAAUAUUAGAUAAUUAGGAUUAUUUUUUUGCAUUCUUCAAUAGGGAGUAAAUUUCUAGGAAAAUGUUUCGGUUUAUAUAGAAAAAUUAAAUCAGUCGUGGUACAUUGACGUCCAAAUUAUCCAGAUAACUGCAUGAUACAGCUAAAUGGAUAAUUGAAUUAUACCGCUAAUCUUAUUAUCGAAUUGUCUGCUUCGUUUGAUGAGAGGGAAACUCAUGAAAAAAUACCUUUCUUCUUUUUAAAAUAAGAGAAGUGAUGUACGUAGAAACGCCCACUUAUUCCCGUCCACUCGAGCUGCACUUGAAAAGCGCGCACGGAGAGGAACAACAAUCCAUCGUUUAAUAUCAUGGUGCUUGACGAUAGGUACGAGGGAAGGUUUUGCGUACGCACAGAUCGUUAAAUUCCGAUCAAUACUCGUUAACAGGGAAAUUUGUAGACAUGAAGGAUCAUAUAUUUUUGCAAAAAAGAGCAAAAUUUUGUCCUUUAUAAUUUUUCACGAUGUCUAUGAUAAAUGUUGAAUCAAUUCUUUUCUACUACUCGAAGUUUCAAUACGAAGUGAGCUCAGCUUUGAAAAUCUCUUUCCUGAGUUUUAUGAAUACUUGUUUACUUCAUCAAAUAUCACUAUAUCGUACGAGGCAUACUCAUGUACUAUUACAAACAAAUCCUUUUCAUCGCUCUCUUUAAGCAGGCUGGAUAAGCAUCCAGAUCGUUGUGAACGUACUUCUUCUUCAUAAAACCGAUUGUUUUCGUACGUCCUCGUAAUUUGAUUAUUUCGUUAGUAACGAAUUCAAUUGUUCUCUCGGAGGUGAAAUACGUGAAAGAGAAGGUAAUAUUAGGUGAGAAAGAAAUACGAAGAAAGAUAUUGUCCGAAUACAAGUUUUUUAUCAUUAUGCAAUAACGAAAAUGAAUUUUUCGAUAACUUGAGCAAUAUUCAUUUGUUUACAAGAAAAGAAGGUAAUAUUUGGAAAAAAUGUUUUCAAGCAAAAUGGAAGUAGAUAUAACUUCCGAACAUGAGAAAUGCUUUCACCACAGUCUGAGCUCUUCUCUGAUCCGCUGAAGGAGGGUUGUAAGAAGAACUUGUAUAUAUAGUGAUAUUUGAUGAAGCAAACAACCGAUCCUAAAACUGGAGAAAGAGAUUGUCAAAGCUGAAACGAGUUCUUAUUAAAACUUGUAGUAGUAUAAAUAGGUCCCUCGACUAAUUAAUCAAAAAACCAGGAAAGUAUUAUUUUUUUGUUAUGUAUCAUUUCGUGAUUUCGUAAAAUGCAAUUAUCUCCAUUUUAUUUAUUUAUCUAUUUUUUUUUUCUUCUUUUUUUCUUUCUUUCUUUCUUUUAUUAAGAGAAAGGCAAAGUGCCCAAAUACGCACAAGUCUCAUGAUAUAAGAUAUAAGUAGUGAAGAAGAAUGUCAGAUAGGCAUUCAUACAGUCACGUUAGAAAAAAUAAAUAUGAAUUCGGAAGAAUACAACAGUAGGGAUAGUUAUAUCAUCUAGCAAGGAAACGAAGAGAUCUCAUUGAUGAAAGUGAUGAAAAUGUUGUAAGAGAAUUGCUUGAAAACUAAUCAUAGAUUUCGUAAAAACUAAUAAGUACUUUUAAAAUAUAUACUCUGAUGUGAGUCGUUGGACCACGUCUGCGCCAAUAAAGUUCCAUCGAUUUGUUGAGAGGUAACGACCGAAAGGACUCAGUGUAGAAAUGAUUAUUACGUUAUACGCACAUUAAUUGCUUACUCGGACGGAAAGGUCGAAAAUGAAGUUAAUUAAGGGGAAAUGAACUUCUCUUUUAUUAUUGAACAAAUAUCUUUGAAUUCGACAUGUUACUUUUCUCUCUUUUUUUUUUCUCUCUUUCUUUACACUUUAUAAUCUGAAAUAAACUAAUGAAUGUUGUCUAUUAAUUUUGUUUUUAUUUGUUUGCUUAAAAUUGACUAUCAAUAAGAAUUAAUUUCUCCUUUUUUUUAGCUCUUGAAACUAUCAUUUCUUUUCGUUUAUUACUCGAUAAUAAGGUAUACAGAUUCAGAGAAAAUCUUUCGCCAUAUUCAUUUCUUUUUUUUUUCGUUGUAUCAUCUUUUUCUCUAUUACGUAUCUCAUUUGAAUGCGCUUUACGCAAGCCAAUUUAAAUUUCCUGUUAAAAUUUCCCGAAAGGGCUAAAAAUUCGGAAAAAUAUACGGGUUGGGAGGAAAUGAAUUUCUCGAUCAAUUCCUUUUAAUUCGACAUAAUAUCAUUCGUUUGAAUAGCCGUACGACUAGACGAAAUAUAUCUUUUCCAAAUGAUCUAUAGAUGAGGAGCUUUAGCUAGAGGGAAUAAUCGAUUCGAAUCGAAACGGCCGUUGAGGGGAUGUCCGUUGACAUUGCAUGUGGAACAUAAAUCAAAGUAGAAUUGAGAUGGAAUUGAGAAAAGUUUAUCUUUAUGGUAUAUUCUAUAUUUAGUAAAAUAUAUUUUAUAUAGUAAAAUAAUAUUUGUAAUUCCCAAAUGCAUUAUUCAAAUGAUUUAUGUUCUCAGUAAGCGUAUAAUAUAACAUUGAUAUGAUGCAUCGCCUAACAUAGUAGAAAUCUAUCUUACUUUUCGACUUACCGAUCGACAUGGCUCAAAGCAUAAAUUAUAAAUGUUUUAGGAAGAUAGCCUUGCCAUGAAAUAAUCUUUCCUUCUCAAUAGAAUCUUCUGAUUCUACUUUCUUGGUAAUGUCAAUAUUCUCUUUACGAAAAAUAAAUAAAUUUGAAUAACCAAAUACCAAAAAAAGGUCACUCCCCCAAAAGGGGAUAGACAUAAUUAGAUAUUACAAAGUAAAAUGAUCGAAAGGAUAUGAAUAUGCAGAAUGAUUCAUAGGAGGAAACAAAGGCAGAGAAAUAAUCAAAAAGAAAAGUAUCAUAAUAAUAAAAAAAAAUUAUUAUCUACGAUAGUUUGGAUUUAAUAAUAAAAAGAGUAGAAAAAAUGAGUAGGAAAAAUAGUAGAAAUAAAUUUAUUAAAUAUUUUAAUCUAUCGCGUUAAAUCUAUCUAUAUAUUAAUCUAUCGUAUUUAUUGGAAUGCAUUACAAGAUGUUGAUCCUCAAUCUUGUAGGCUUCAAUAUAAAUUCUCGCAAGACUCAAAUGAAAGAAAAUCCAAAAUAAUAUAUAAGCCCCCGAUCAGCCGCGAUAAUCGAAUGUGCAUCAUACGUAUCAAUUUAAACAAGAUGCUCUCAUAUUUGAAUUUUUUUAUUUCGAUCCAUCAACCUGAAUGUUUAGUCAAGGGUAAUUUUUUUAUACAGUCAGUUGCAAAAGACGUAAUUAUUAAUAGAAGGAAAUAGAACUAUCUUCGUUAGUCAUUUUUAAGUUCAUUGCAUAUUGUUUUUCAUUUGAGUCUUCCUAGAAUUUGCAUAGAUGCCUACAAGAUUGAGGAUCAACAUCUUGUAAUGCAUUCCAAUGAUUACGAUAGAUUGAUAUAUAGAUUAGAUAUUUAUGACAAGUUUUCUUCUUUUACAACACUUCAUUGCUUUUUGUUUCUAUUAGUAGAAAAUUAUAUAAAAUAAAAUAUAAUAUAAUUAUAAUUAUAUAAAGAAGUUUCCUUUAUAAUACACGGACGUAUAUAUCAUUAGGAUCACAAGUGUUACAGUUCUCUGGUUUUAUGCAACUUGAUAUGGGAAACCAAUUUCUAUGGCCAUUGUCUCCAAAGCAAUAAGAAUAUGGUACGAUCAAAUUAGAAAUUUAAAGCAGAAUUUUCACAAAUUUUUCUAUUAUAAUUAUUACUCGCCGCUAAUCAAGAAAAUGAAAAAUUACUUACAGCAGAUUGCCAGGAAUAGAAUAUACUCGUCGUAGUCAUUAAUAUUCCCCUUAAAUGGUUCCUUGAAUUAUGUGCUCGACUCUCCUGGACGUGUAUAUUUCUAUCCUCUUGAUAUUUUAUUCUGUUAAACACACUUCAGAGUUUUCUGAAAAUAACAAAAAUGUUCAAUUAAUCUUUUAUUAUAUUUUCUCAGCAUCCUAAUUAUUUAUUUAAAAAUUAGGAUCCAUAUUCAGAAUUUUAUUUUUAUCAGAAAAAAUGUCAGAAUCUCCUUAAAACAUUCUGAAAUGAACUUUCGUUUCAAGCAAAUGGAUGAAAAAUAAAAACUAAUUGGUUUGAUCGCAAAAGCAAACGAAACCGGUUCGGUUGCGGAUAUGUGUCUCUCGUAGACAACUCGUCUCUACGUUCGUCUCUUUGUAUUCUUAUCAUGGACUCAUGCAUCUCUAUUCUAAUUGAUUAGCUGCCCGGCAAACAAGCAAUUACUAGUUUCAGACAAGUAUUAAAGAGGGAUAUUAAUGGCUACGACGAGUAUAUUCUAUUCCUGGCAAACCACUUAGUUUGUUGGACUCGUCAACAGGUAGUAUCAUUGAGACAGGAAAUACGGAAUAAUUUCGCGAAAUAUCAAGCACAUGUGCAACAGUUGGCUCCAUAUACGAUUAUCCGAUUGGUUCGUAUAAAUGUCUAAAAUGAAGUAUCCUAAUUCCGAUAAUCCUAAUUACGCUUUCUCCUCGGUUUAAUUUUAAACAAUAAUUCAAAAUUAUGCAACAAGUAAAAUAUCAAUCACUGGUAAAAUAUAAUAUCUAAUAAUAGUAAAAAUAAGUUAACCAUAGCAUGAAAAAAUAGUAAGAAACUACGCAAUUUUUUAUAAUCUACUAUAAAACAAUAUAUCGUAGUAUUGGAUAUGAACUUGUAUAAAAUAGGGCAUAACAUAACGUUACUAAUAUAAACUCAUAGACACAUAUAUAAAAUUAUCCUAUUGUCUAUAACAUACAAUAUAAAGAACACAAUCUGAUGAAAAUGAAUCUUCGCGUUAGUUAUUCAGAAAUUUAAAUAAGGUGCAACUUAUCAAGAACAUAAAGAAAAAUACUAGCGAAUCCCAUUAUCGAAUCCAGUUAUGCAGCCAAUGUUCAGGUACUACGGUUUAUAUACUAAUCAUCUUUUCUUUCUUAGAGUUUUGUCUGGACACGAUGUUGCCUCGAUUAAAAAUAAAUUACUCCCAGUUUUGUCGAUUAGCUUUUAAUUUUUUCCUUUUUUUUUUCGUUGAAUUUUGUCUACAUAUUCGGAAGAAGUAAAUAUUUAUCAAAAAUUGAAUUUCUGAUGAUGCAUCCUAAACAAAUAUAUGAAAAUAUGAAUUCAAUACCAACUGAUUCACUUUCCUAGUACACACUCGUUCGCUUCUUUUCUUCUUGAAUUUAAAUUUCUUUUUUCACUUUCUUAUCUUUCAAUUUUCUUUUUCAACUUACAUCUAUUUAUAUCCAUCUUAAUUUAAGAAAGGGCAAGGAUAAUUCACGAAAUAAUAAAUAAAUAUAUAAAUAAAUAAGUUCGUAGAUGGCCUUCAUUACGUAUAACAUAAGUAAGUCAUUGUAAAAUUGAUAUACGUUUCUGAAUGGAAUUUUCUUUAUUCUUUUCAGUCGAAAGGCGAAUUCGAUACAUCCGUUAUUACAUAUAUGUAUCGACUUAUAUCUACAUAUAUGUACACUUGUGUAUCUAUGUAUUUUACAAUGCCUUACUUAUGCUAUAUAUUUUAUAGGCCAAUUACGAACUUAUUUACUUAUCUAUUUAUCUAUUCUUUCGUCAAUUAUAUGUGCCAUUUUAAAAAUUAAGAAGGAUAUAAAUAGAUGUAAGUUGAUAAAGGAAAUUGAAAGAUAAGAAAGUGAAAAAAGAAAUUUAAAUUAAAGAAGAAUAGAAACGAACGAGUGUGUACUAGAAAAGUGAAUCAGUUGAUAUCGAAUUCAUAUUUUCAUAUAUUUGUUUAGGAUGCAUCGUUAGAAAUUCAAUUUUUGAUAAAUAUUUACUACUUAGACACGAUGUUGCCUCGAUUAAAAAUAAAUUGCUUCAAGUUUUGUCGAUUAGCUUUUAAUUUUUUUCUUUUUUUUCGUUGAAUUUUGUCUUCAUAUUCGGAAGAAGUAAAUGUUUAUCAAAAAUUGAGUUUCUAAUGAUGCAUUCUAAACCAAUAUAUGAAAAUAUGAAUUCCAUAUCAACUGAUUCACUUUCCUAGUACACACUCGUUCGCUUCUUUUCUUCCGUAAUUUAAAUUUCUUUUUUCACUUUCUUAUCUUUCUAUUUUCUUUUUCAACUUACAUCUAUUUAUAUCCUUCUUAAUUUUUAAAAUGUCACAUAUAAUCGACGAGAUAAUAGAUAAAUAGAUAAGUAAAUAAGUUCGUAAUUGGCCUAUAAAAUAUAUAGCAUAAGUAAGGCAUUGUAAAAUACAUAGAUACACAAGUGUACAUAUAUGUAGAUAUAAGUCGAUACAUAUAUGUAAUAAUGAAUGUAUCGAAUUCGCCUUUCGACUGAAAAGAAUAAAGAAAAUUCCAUUCAGAAACGUAGUAGAUAAAAGAGAAAAUAUAUACAUUAAUUUUAAACAGAAUGUAAUGAACUUACUAAGUAAUAGGGAAUAUAAUUGUGCUUCCAUUUGUAAUUAGAACUUUUAGAACUAUUUGUAAGAAAACAGGUAGUACUUAAUGAGGCAUUACGAUUCAUAGAUUGAAACACACUUUUAUAACAACCCUAUAGUUAGAAAAACAUGGAAUCAUGUAUCUCUAUUCUAAUUGGUUAACUGACCGGCAAAGAAGCAAUAUAACUGGUUUCAGACAUGCAACUCAACUGAUAUGUUUGACUCGUCAAUCGAUAGUAUCACCGAAAUACCAAAUACGGAAAAAUAUCACGAAAUAUCCAACACGUGUGCAACAGUUGGAUCCAUAAACGAUUAUUCGAUUGGUUCGUAUAAAAGUCUAAAAAGAAAUACCCGAAAACCCUAAUUACGCUUCCUUUUCAGUUUAAUUUUAUACCAUAAUUCAAAAUUAUGCAACAAGUAAAAUAUCAAUCACUGGUAAAAUAUAGUAACUAAUAAUAAUAAAGAUCAGUUAACCAUAGCAUGAAAAAAUAGUAAGAAACUAUGCAAUUUUCUAUAAUCUACCAUAAAACAUAUUAUCGUAGUAUUGGAAUUGAACUUGUAUAAAAUAGGGCAUAACAUAACGACAGUAAUAUAAACUCAUAGAUAGAUAUAAAAAAUUAUACUAUUGUGUAUAGCAUGCAAUGUGGAACAGAAUCUUAUGAUAAUGGAUCCUCGCAUUAAAUAUUAUAAAAUUCAAGUAUGAUUCUACUUAUCAAGAACUUGAAAAAUGUAUCGGGUGAUUCCCAAAAUCGAUUUCAAAUAUGCGGCCAAUUUUCAGAUACUACGGUUUGUAUGCUAAACAUCUUUUCUUUCUUGGAGUUUCGUCGCUUUGGACUCUUUACCGUAUCGAUUAAAUGUUAAUUGCUCUAAGUUUCGUCGAAUAGCUUUUAGUUUCUUGUUUUUCUGUUAAAUCUUGUCUCCAUAUUUAGAAGAAGCACGUAUUUAUCAAAAAUGGAGGAUCCAUCUAUGCCAAUAUAAACAAAUAUAGGAAAAUAUGAAAUUGAGAAUGAGUCCACUUACCUAGUACAUAUAAGCUUGCUUCUUUUCUCGAUGUCUCUUUUCUUCUUUAAUAUUAACUUGAUUUUUUAUUUUGACUUAUUUUUCAAUUUUCUCUUUAAUUUUACAUCCGUGGUUUACUGAUGUUCGUAUGACAUAUAUGUAUACACAUAUGUGUAUAUAUAUACAUAUAUAUAUAUAUAUAUGUAUAUAUAUUUUACAACGCAUUGCUUAUGUUAUACGUAUUGAAGGCAAAUUAUGAGCUUAUUUAUUUAUACAUUUAUCUAUAUCCAUAUGAUUCUCAGAAAUAUAUAAAGAGUAUAUCAGUUUAUAGACAAAUAUAUAAAUAAAUAUAGAUAUGAACAUUGGACUUUAAUACGUACAAAGUACACAGUGCGGUGAAAUAUAUAUAUAUAUAUAUGUGUGUGUGUGUGUGUAUAUGCAUGUAUUUACGUAUAUAUCGAAUCAGUCUACCAUCUGAAAAGAAUAGAGAAAAUUUCAUUCAUAAAUUUCAUUCAAAAGAAAAGAGAAAAUAUAUAAACUAAUUUUUAACAGAAUGUAAUGAACUUACCAAGUACUAGCACAAAUAGUUUUAACUCCAUUAAUAAUUACGCCUUGCAGGACUAUCUGUAAGAAAACAAUUAGUACUUAAUAAUGCAUUACGAUUGAUAGAUCGAAACACAGUUUUACAACAAGCCGAUAAUUAGAAAAGGAGACUCAAAUAUUAACAUUCCAAGGGAUAUUUAUAUUAUUCCAAACAAUUCACUAAGCUUUAGUUCAAAUAACGCAAAUUAUAGUAUUUCCUCUGGUUAAUAUUAUACAAUAAUAUACCCAAGACAAAUUGCUAGAUAUAAUAUAUAGUGCAAGAAGAUAAUAAACUAUACAUCUUUCUAUAGUAUAUUAUAAAACGGUAUAUCGUAGUAUUGAACACAAAAUUGUAUAAAAUAUAGUAUAAUGCGUUAAUAUUAAGUAGCAUAAAAUUUAAAUAGGAUUUCACUAACCGAUAGCGCGUUUUUUAUAACCUUCCAGAUAAGUAACAUUAUCGCGAUGGACAGGAACUUACAUAUUAUUCUAAAUCGUCCCUCUCUUGAAACCUCCAGGAAGUUGCUUGUAGGACGAUUCGAAACAGAAUAAAUAGUUUAUUCAACUUCCGCGGACGGCUCCUAACAUCUUUUAUAUUGACUCGAGCAUGCGCUGUUUCGUUUAAUCCCCUCUUUUUCAUAUAUUCACGAUCCCCAAUUAUCUCUUCACAAUGUUACCAACAAUUUUGGAUCGAUAUUACCGUAAAAGGAAGAUUUCUGUUUGCUUUUAUCUCUGUUUUCUCUUCUUGAUUCUGUUUUCUCCAUUUGAUUCCCCAUGUGAUUCUCCAUACUCGUAUCUUUUCGAUCAUUUCACGAUGUAAAAAUCGAAUUGCGUUUAUCUACUUUCAGUUGAGGAAAAUUUUUUUGGCAUUUUAUUUUUCAUUUUUUGGCAUUUUAUUUUUGCAUUUAAUUUAUUUGGCAUUUAAUUAUUCAUAUUUAUUUAUUUUGUGCGAAGAGAAUGUUGACAUUACCAAGAAAGUAGAAUUCAGAAUAUUGUAUUUAAAAGGAAUGGUAAUCUCAGGGAAAAUCUCUUCCUACAAUAUUUAUAACUGAUGAUUUGUGCGAUGUAAAUCGGUUGACCGAAUAACGAUGGCUAGAAAGGAGUAUAAUAGAUCUUUACUAUGUUGGGGGAAAUAUUAUGUAAAUGUUUAUUAUAUGUACGCUUAUUGAGAUAUUUAAUCAUCCGAGUAAAACAUUAGGAAAAUGCUGAAUAAAUUAGAAAUAUUAUGUUACUAGAUAUAUAAUGAUGUCGUUGCUAUACUGAGUUAUACGUAAUGAGAAAUGAACGAUUCGAUUAAGGUAACAUUUUCCGAGGAACUAAUUAGUUUGGAAUAUAUGAAAUAUCAGAUAAUUGGCAGUAUAAGUGGAUCGUUCUUUGAAAUUUUCCUGUCGGGAAUUAAUUUUUCGGAAAAAGUAUUCCUUCGUAUGAAAGAACUAAAUUAGUUGUGGUACAUCGAUCUGCUAAUUAAUUAAUGCAGCUAAAUAGCUAAUUGAAGUACACUGCUAAUCGUAUUAUCGCAUUGGCUGCUUAGUUUAAUAAGAGGAGAACGAACGACAAAAUACCUUUCUUCUUUUGAAAAAAUACCUUUCUUCUUUCGAAAAAAUACCUUUCGUCAAAAUAAGCGAGGAGAUAUACGCACGCACACCCACAGAACCGCGGACAUAUUCCCACUUACAUGCUCUAGCGCGGAUGAGAGAAUAUAAGAGCAUCAGUGUGUGGAGAAAGAUAAUAACAAAUUGUUUAACACGAACGUACACGACGAUACGUAUGGAAGAACGUAACGCAUACAUGCAUUUUCAUUAAAUCUCAAUCGUAAGAUAUUUGCGCUACGUAAUAAUUUAGUUCGUCCAAAUACCUAUAUUUCUGAAAAACGUACAUUAUACAUUAUUUUUAAGUACAUGACGUGAAUAUUCUGACAAAUAAUUUGGAACAUUGAACCAAACACUUCUUCUCUUUUUAAUUAUAUUGAAUAAUAAUAUAAACUGACGGUAUAACGAUGACACGGUGAGAUAAACGUACUCUACAUAUUAACGCAUAAUUUAAAAGCGUGUCCGGGCUAACGUUAUUAUCCCGAAGAACAAUGAAUACUUUGAUCGUAUACACAGCUUUGAUCAUUUUCAAUGAUAAAGCUGCCUGAGUACCAUUUCAGUUCCAUUUGAAUCCAGAUUCCCUUUGCAACGGCAAACAAACCUACGAUAAAUCUUUCCCAUAACACUCCAUUAUAUCCUCUAUCUAAAGCCACUUACCUUUGAAUCCUUUCAAUAACGUAUAUUCCAUAUCCUCGUAUCACCAUAUGAAUGAAGCUUUGUAAUACAGCGCUAUUUUAAUUGACGAUUACCUUGAGGCAAUACUUUGAGGAUCGUCGUCAACACCAUUAUAAAUGUUUGUCCUCUUCUUCCUCUUCUUCCUUGUUAAUUGCAACCACGUAACGAAGACGCUAUGGAACAUAAUUAUGCGGAUCACGUUUGUAAAGGAAAUGCCUUCCUUUCGAACCCAGCACGUUGAUUAUUACUACAGCUAAGAAAUAGCAAAUAUGUUUAGGAAACCGUCGAUAAUCGUUGAUAGUAAAAUGCCGCCGAUCGUUAUUAUAUAAUUCAGUGUCCGCACAUAAGAUAUAUGGAUAUGUAUUUUUCUGUUCUUCCUUUUUUUAAAUUCGAGUUAUAAUAUAAAGCGGCAUGUCAUUGCCUAAAAACUGUAACAAGGAUCUAAAAAUAUUAAAGCACAAUCUUUUUAGAUGAUAACACUGGAGAACAACUUCGAACGUCAAUUUCUUGACAUUCCAUAAUAGAUGAUGAAUAUGUUUUUGACGUAGGAUUCUUUGAAAAUAUUCUCUUAUAAAUGUAUUUGUUCCUGUAAGGUACUAUAUAUUAGGAUCAUAAUAAAAAAGCAGGUACACCUCGUUCUGGUCACUUUGCACACCAUAUUAUUUGUAUUAUGACCAAAGAAGAUAUUGUUUACAUGAACAACAUCUUUGGCUGAUUUUGUCACAUAGGAAUUAAAAAUAUGUAUAUUAACGCCCGCAAGAUAUUUUUGUUAUGAGAGAAUAUUAAUAAGAGAAUUAAUUUCGUUUCAUGGAAUGUGAAUAUUUGGUAGGGUGAGAUCAAUAAAAAUAAAGCAGAAGCAUUUGUAACGAUAUUCUGUUAUGGAAUAUGGAUAUGGUAGUAAAACAGAGAUCAUAAUAUGUCAAAUUAAAAGAGAUCGUUAGAGAAGUCUUAAUUAAUUUCAUCUUCUAGCUUUUCGUCUGUGAAAGCAAUAAAGAUGCAUAGAAUGUAAAAACUCUGUUUGUUCGGCACCCUCUCGGAUGUUAUCUGUCAGCAAAUAGAUGGUAAUUUUUUGCGUAAUCGUGGUCCAUUGACUUACGUAAUAUAAUAUAUCGUGACCGUGGAACUAACGGAUAUAUUGUAAUGAUCUUUAAUUUAUAUGAAUUUGUAGAUAUUGAAAAGCAUAUUUCAUUACAAAAUAUUAUCCCUUAUAAUUUUCUACGAUAUCUGUGAUAAGCUUUGCAGGAUUUUCAUCCUUAUCAUCAUCUAUGAAAUUUUUCCUGUUUUCAUAUUCGGUGGUAUCACUAUCACUGUUACCGUUCUUUUCUGGAUUUAUACUUGUCUUUUUGAAAUUGCUCUUCACUAUUUAUAUCUUAUAUCAUGUAAUGUAGUCGUGUUUGUAGACUUUGUCAUUGUCCUAAUAAAAAAAAAAAAAAUGAGUAAAUGAAUGCGUUGAAAAUUUCUUUCUACCUCUAAUUGUAUGUUACGAAACGACCAAACGAUAUAUACCCAAAGAAUAUUAUUUUUCUGAUUUUCGGACUGAUUAGUCCAGGGAUCUACUUAUCUACUCGAAGCUUCAUUACGGACUGGUGUCAGCUUUAAAAAUCUCUUACUCCAGUUUUAGGAUCGGUUGUUUACUUUAUCAAAUUACCUAACGAACAGAGAAAGAACAUUGUUAGCUAGAGAAUUGAAAUUUAGGAAGUUUAGGAAUGAUUCUCGUCUAUAGAAAUCACUCCUUCGUUAACUUUUCAAAGAAUAUCAUGUAAGUGAAUACCAUAUAUUUACAUACUAAAAAUAAUUGCUAUCUGUAUAUAAUUCAGACGUCCUAAAGAAUAUUUUCACAACCUAUCAAUCUGUUAGUACGAUUUCAAUAUUCUCACUAUUUCUUCUCCGGGAGAACCUCACACUUAUUUAAUGAAUCUCGAGGAAUCAUUGUUUCCAUCGCAACAUUCGUUUAUAUCAUCGCUAUUGGAUAAAUUUAUAAGUGGCCAUUUGUAUACAAUUUAUUACAUAAUUCCAAUUAUAUAUUAUAGAAAUGAAAAUAAUUCUCUUUACCCAUACCAUUUUAAUUAUUAAUUAAAAUGCGUUUAGAAGAAGCCGCUGUACGAUUUAAAAGGAAUCAUCUGAUAUAUUUCUGGUAAUUAUACAAUUAAAAUGAAUGAAUGUGUAUCAGAAGUCUUAACUAAUCUACGAAUUUUUAAUUAUUUCGGAGAUAUACGAGACGAAACGGAGGAGAAAGCAGUUACUAUAGACCAGAAAUAUUGCAAUGGAGCCUAAUUGAUUGCUAGUUGUAAUUCCUUCCAAAGAAGAUACACAAACUUCAAUUACGCUCAAUGUGAUAAUUAAACAUUCGACGUCCCAAGUGACAUACAUUUACAUUGUCAGUUCCUGUUCUUCCGUACAUUCGACGAUACGUCCAACAGGGAUAGUGAAAACGCCCGACCAUCAAUCCAAAUAGGAUACGUGAACAUUUUCCUCUGUAGCCUUAUAUCUAAAUUGUAAAUCAAUCAAUGGUGUGUUUAUCGAGUGAUUUUAUGAAGGCGACGAAAGUAUUUCUAUUUCUAAGAGAAUUCUUUUCAAAUCUUUCACGUGAUAUGAAACCCAAGUUGGCGAGAGAAGCAUGGUGUAUGGAGACAACGUGACGCCAUUGCUAGCGCAUUAUUAUACCAAUCAUCGAUCUUGAUAUUGGAUUUUAAUAAACGAGAUGAGAUAUAAGUAACUUGUCACGUAUAUUAUCCAAUUUUCCAUAUAAUUUGAUUCGUAUAUCUCUAAAAUAGAUCCAAAUUCGUAGAUUAGUUAAGACUUAUCGAAGUCAUUCGUUCAUUUCAAUCAUAUAACUAUCGAAAUUAAAUCAGAUGAAGCCUUUUAAAUGCUACAGCAACUACUCCUAAACGCAACAAAAUAAUAAUUAAAAUGUUAUGAAUCAACAGAAUCAAUUUCAUUUUUAUAAUAUAGAAAUGAAAUUUUCUACUAAAUCUAAUCGUGUUUAAACCGUUUGUAUUACUUGUAAAGCUGUUCUCUGGGACGUAUAAUAGCUAGGGAUUAUUUCGCGUAUGACACACAUUUGCGUAUUACUGGAUCGAAAAUCACAGAAGGAAUGACUUCCCCUGGCGAAGUUAAUCUCAUGUCGUCCCGUGAGACCAAGCUUUCUAGAUUCUAAUUCUCUAACUAGAACGCAUGGGGAUAAAAAAUUUCCCCUUUUCUAUAAUUAUGUAAUUAUAUAUACUUUAUUAUGUUAUUAUAUAUACUCUUUGUUCAAAGGAAAUUAUCUCAUGUAUCUUGGAAUAUCCUAAUGAGAAUCUUAUAUAUAUCUUAUAAUAGAAUCUAAUAAUAAUUCGUCUCUUUUUUAAUUAAAAUAAGCACAUAAAACUGUAAUUACUUGUAAUAUAAUUAAUUAUUAUAAUAAUAAUUAUUGUAAUUAUCAAGACUAAUUCCUAUGAAAUUAAUCGGAUAUUCAUAUACGAAAUUCGCAAUGUUUCUUCUUUCGUAAGUCCAACUUAUACUUAAAAAUAGUAUUCUAAUAUUAUUAGUUACUAAUGGUAUCACAAUUUUCGUACCAUGUAAAUACUACGUAAUUCUUAUCGUCAACAAUUCUGUCGUAAGAAAAUUUUUUCGUCGAAAUUUAUAUCUACUUCCACAUUACUUGAAAACAUUUUCUCGAAAUAUUACGAUCUUUUUUUUGUAAACAAAUGCAUAU